AAUAAAACUUUAUUGCAGGUUUUACAGGCUGUUUUCAGGCAGCUGUGGUCAGAGUGGAACUGCCAUCAUAUUGGCAGUGGAUGCCAAUAUAUGAUAUGUAAUAAAAAGGCAGUAACGGCUCGAUGUAACUGCGGACGAUAUAUCUGCCUAACAGACCCAUCGACUCUGUCUUGGUUUCCAUUUGCGAGCUGCGCGUGCGCGCCCGAACUUUCCAUAAAACUUCCAUGAAUCCAAAUUUCCUUUUGACUGGAACAGAUUUCUCUAUUAAUAUUUACAAGUUUCCACUCUAUCAACCUCAUAUCUCUAACUAAGAGUCAGAGCAUUCAUUUCACAUUAAAAGCAUAAGAACUGUUUGUUCAGUUUUCAUAAGCUUGCAGAAUUAAGCCGUUCUAAUCCCACACCACAAGUGCAGGUGUACUUUUUCCCUAUAUUUUGAACUUUUUCCUUCCCCCCCAUCAGCCAUCCUGUGCUUCUUUGUGAUGUCUUUGUUGCCUCUCUGCUCGUCAUCUGUUCUACAUUCAGUCAGUCAGCAGUACUCAGUAGUCAGUCUGCUCCCUUUAUUUUCUUUAUUUACCAUAGGAGGCCUGAGACAGCUCCGGUUUAAAAGAGACAAGCAGGCAGGAGGUUCUGGAUAUACCGUCCCCAGGCAACAGGAAUAUUCUGAGGUUUCUCCUGUGCUUCAACACACCCCCAUUUCAUUUCCUCACAGCCCUGCCUCCCCCCCUCCAAAAUCCAACCUCCCCCUCCCUCAAGACAACCUCUCUCCCCACCCCGUCCCCUCCCUCUGUGCCUCUCUGUGGCAGAUGGGCACUGUGUGUGACAGCAGGGUCAUCGGGUCACAUCCACAUGGGAUUUUCAGGUUUCCAGACUGACAUUAUUGAACUAGUGUGGGAUCAUCUUGACAGAUAAUGGAACAAAAGGAAACCAACAAGCAAAGAAGAGCUUUGAAUGCCCUUCAAGAAUCCUGGAGGACCAUUCCUGAAGGCUGCUUAAAGAAAUGACAAUAAAGCUUCGUAAGACAGUGUUGAUGAAUAAAGGUGGUGACUUUCACUCAUCAGAACUGUGCAAACUCUCUUCCUUCCUCAC
Molecule: long non-coding RNA, 1086 nt
Organism: Oreochromis niloticus (Nile tilapia)
Lineage: Eukaryota; Metazoa; Chordata; Actinopteri; Cichliformes; Cichlidae
Exons: 3
Source: RefSeq, a predicted model, not a curated record